ACGCUGGCGGCGUGCCUAAUACAUGCAAGUAGAACGCUGAAGAGAGGAGCUUGCUCUUCUUGGAUGAGUUGCGAACGGGUGAGUAACGCGUAGGUAACCUGCCUUGUAGCGGGGGAUAACUAUUGGAAACGAUAGCUAAUACCGCAUAACAAUGGGUGACACAUGUCAUUUAUUUGAAAGGGGCAAUUGCUCCACUACAAGAUGGACCUGCGUUGUAUUAGCUAGUAGGUGAGGUAACGGCUCACCUAGGCGACGAUACAUAGCCGACCUGAGAGGGUGAUCGGCCACACUGGGACUGAGACACGGCCCAGACUCCUACGGGAGGCAGCAGUAGGGAAUCUUCGGCAAUGGGGGCAACCCUGACCGAGCAACGCCGCGUGAGUGAAGAAGGUUUUCGGAUCGUAAAGCUCUGUUGUAAGUCAAGAACGAGUGUGAGAGUGGAAAGUUCACACUGUGACGGUAGCUUACCAGAAAGGGACGGCUAACUACGUGCCAGCAGCCGCGGUAAUACGUAGGUCCCGAGCGUUGUCCGGAUUUAUUGGGCGUAAAGCGAGCGCAGGCGGUUUGAUAAGUCUGAAGUUAAAGGCUGUGGCUCAACCAUAGUUCGCUUUGGAAACUGUCAAACUUGAGUGCAGAAGGGGAGAGUGGAAUUCCAUGUGUAGCGGUGAAAUGCGUAGAUAUGUGGAGGAACACCGGUGGCGAAAGCGGCUCUCUGGUCUGUAACUGACGCUGAGGCUCGAAAGCGUGGGGAGCGAACAGGAUUAGAUACCCUGGUAGUCCACGCCGUAAACGAUGAGUGCUAGGUGUUGGAUCCUUUCCGGGAUUCAGUGCCGCAGCUAACGCAUUAAGCACUCCGCCUGGGGAGUACGACCGCAAGGUUGAAACUCAAAGGAAUUGACGGGGGCCCGCA
This 910-nucleotide ribosomal RNA is filed under the name uncultured bacterium. RNAcentral's name for it is "bacterial SSU rRNA". It matches the Rfam family "Bacterial small subunit ribosomal RNA", at positions 33 to 925 of the family's 1533-position model. The record is from RNAcentral.